UACGGGGGGUGCGAGCGUUGUCCGGAAUCACUGGGCGUAAAGGGCGCGUAGGUGGUCUGAUAAGGGUGUGGUGAAAGCCCGGGGCUCAACCCCGGGUCGGCCGUGCCGACUGUUAGACUAGAGUGCUGUAGGGGCAGGCGGAAUUCCGGGUGUAGCGGUGGAAUGCGUAGAGAUCCGGAGGAACACCGGUGGCGAAGGCUGCGACCUGGGUAGAUACUGACGCUGAGGCGCGAAAGCGUGGGGAGCAAACAGG
Molecule: ribosomal RNA, 253 nt
Filed under: uncultured bacterium
Lineage: Bacteria
Description: partial 16S ribosomal RNA
Rfam family: Bacterial small subunit ribosomal RNA
Source: RNAcentral